This is a long non-coding RNA of Rattus norvegicus (Norway rat), 1220 nucleotides long. RefSeq lists it as uncharacterized. The record is from RefSeq and is a predicted model, not a curated record. NCBI's taxonomy places the organism in Eukaryota, Metazoa, Chordata, Mammalia, Rodentia, Muridae.
CAUUGACCUAUAAUUAUUAGCUUUUUCUCCCAGGCAUUUGAACAUUUCUUAGGGAAUUAUUUGUUGUCAGUUUUAAGAUUUAUUACAUUGUGCUCAUAUUGUAAUCCCUGAGUGGUGUGUAGUUGUUAUCGCUCCCUGCCUCCAUUCUGUGAGGUUCAACUUGAGGUACAGCUGAAGAAGCUGCCAAGGCCACUGAACCUCCUUUCCUGCCUCAGUCUGGGGACCACUGUGAGGUAACUCAGCAGGAACUGCCAGGACAAUGGUACUUACUCUGUGACUCUGCCUGCCAUCAGAGUGAGGUAACACCACAGGGGCUGCCAGGGGGGCAGAAUGUCCUCUCCACACUUCCUGAAGAGCUCCAUGACUGUGCCCUAGAACCUAAGCUGAAGAAACCUGUGGCCUGAAAGGACUUCCCAUCAUGAACAAUGGACCAUGUGUAGGAACAAACAAGUUUUACCAUAGAGCUGGCUCCUGGCAUGUUUAUGUCCUUGCUACCUGUGUAAUCUCCAUUGCUGCUGCUGCUGCUGCUGCUGUUGCUGCUGCUGCUGCUUCAUUGUUUUCUCCAUUGCAAACUGGAAAGGGCCAGGAACUUCUAAAGCCAAUCACUCAGCAUUCAAAAGCCUUGUGCUCAGGAAACUACAGAAAAUGCCAGUAACAUCACUCAACACAGAACAAGGCUUGGAAUAUCCUUCAUCCAAGAGGCUCCCGUUGAUUGAUACAGAUGUAGGGCAAAGCCAGACCCACAAGUGGGUGGGAUGAGAAGAGCAAGAAAGAUGUGUUCUGAUUCCAGGAGCACCUAGCACACUAUCCUGAUCAGGGUUGUGAGAGAACACUAUCUGAGGCAGCUUGAAGAUCUUCCUCACUGGGAACAGUUCCUUUCUGUUUUUCCAAGAGCCAAGUGACCAGGGUAAGUUCUUCUCAAGUCCCCUCCUUCCAUCACCUCCACUGCUGUGUACAUGACCCAAAGAGAGAUAGCUGUGGGCUCUUUAUGUUGGUACCACCCACAGCAGUGACAUCACCACAUGCCUACAGAACUGAUCAGUUUUCCAAGGACCCCAAAUUUGAAAGUUGUGUGGUUGUUGAUAUUAGGCAUUGUAUGUCUGGGUGAAGAUUACCUUUCCACAAUGUGUACAGAUUGCUGGACUGCAUGCUCUGACCACAACACAAGUGUUACCAAGAAGACCCAACAGCAACCUGGAAUAAACCUCUUUUUCUGCAAA